GUGCCAGCAGCCGCGGUAAAACGUAGGGGACAAGCGUUAUCCGGAUUUACUGGGCGUAAAGCGCCCGUAGGCGGCCUGAUAAGUUGGACGUGAAAGCUCCCGGCUUAACUGGGAGAGGCCGUUCAAAACUGUGAGGCUAGAGUGAGGCAGAGGAGCGCGGAAUUCCCGGUGUAGUGGUGGAAUGCGUAGAGAUCGGGAGGAACACCAGUGGCGAAAGCGGCGCUCUGGGCCUAAACUGACGCUGAGGGGCGAAAGCGUGGGGAGCGAACGGGAUUAGAUACCCUUGUAGUCC
Molecule: ribosomal RNA, 292 nt
Filed under: uncultured bacterium
Lineage: Bacteria
Description: partial 16S ribosomal RNA
Rfam family: Bacterial small subunit ribosomal RNA
Source: RNAcentral